Molecule: ribosomal RNA, 373 nt
Filed under: uncultured bacterium
Lineage: Bacteria
Description: bacterial SSU rRNA
Rfam family: Bacterial small subunit ribosomal RNA
Source: RNAcentral
UUGCUGGUUGGUGUCAGGUGGUGCAUGGCUGUCGUCAGCUCGUGUCGUGAGAUGUUGGGUUAAGUCCCGCAACGAGCGCAACCCUUAUCUUAUGUUGCCAGCGCGUUAUGGCGGGGACUCGUGAGAGACUGCCGGGGUCAACUCGGAGGAAGGUGGGGACGACGUCAAGUCAUCAUGCCCCUUAUGUCCAGGGCUUCACACAUGCUACAAUGGCCGGUACAGAGGGCUGCGAUACCGUGAGGUGGAGCGAAUCCCUUAAAGCCGGUCUCAGUUCGGAUCGGGGUCUGCAACUCGACCCCGUGAAGUUGGAGUCGCUAGUAAUCGCAGAUCAGCAACGCUGCGGUGAAUACGUUCCCGGGCCUUGUACACACCG